GAUGAACGCUGGCGGCGUCCUUAACACAUGCAAGUCGAACGAACCUUCGGGUUAGUGGCGGACGGGUGAGUAACGCGUGAGAAUCUGCCCUCAGGAGGGGGACAACAGCUGGAAACGGCUGCUAAUACCCCAUAUGCCGCGAGGUGAAAUGAAUUUCGCCUGAGGAUGAGCUCGCGUCUGAUUAGCUAGUUGGUGUAGGUAAUGGCUCACCAAGGCAUCGAUCAGUAGCUGGUCUGAGAGGAUGAUCAGCCACACUGGGACUGAGACACGGCCCAGACUCCUACGGGAGGCAGCAGUGGGGAAUUUUCCGCAAUGGGCGAAAGCCUGACGGAGCAACGCCGCGUGAGGGAUGAAGGCCUCUGGGCUGUAAACCUCUUUUAUCAAGGAAGAAGAUCUGACGGUACUUGAUGAAUAAGCCACGGCUAAUUCCGUG
RNAcentral lists this ribosomal RNA (433 nucleotides) under uncultured bacterium. RNAcentral's name for it is "bacterial SSU rRNA". It matches the Rfam family "Bacterial small subunit ribosomal RNA", at positions 28 to 507 of the family's 1533-position model. The record is from RNAcentral.